This 575-nucleotide ribosomal RNA is filed under the name Escherichia coli. Its description in RNAcentral is "partial 23S ribosomal RNA". It matches the Rfam family "Bacterial large subunit ribosomal RNA", at positions 1260 to 1820 of the family's 2925-position model. Lineage: Bacteria; Pseudomonadati; Pseudomonadota; Gammaproteobacteria; Enterobacterales; Enterobacteriaceae. The record is from RNAcentral.
ACUGUGAGGUAUGCUGGAGGUAUCAGAAGUGCGAAUGCUGACAUAAGUAACGAUAAAGCGGGUGAAAAGCCCGCUCGCCGGAAGACCAAGGGUUCCUGUCCAACGUUAAUCGGGGCAGGGUGAGUCGACCCCUAAGGCGAGGCCGAAAGGCGUAGUCGAUGGGAAACAGGUUAAUAUUCCUGUACUUGGUGUUACUGCGAAGGGGGGACGGAGAAGGCUAUGUUGGCCGGGCGACGGUUGUCCCGGUUUAAGCGUGUAGGCUGGUUUUCCAGGCAAAUCCGGAAAAUCAAGGCUGAGGCGUGAUGACGAGGCACUACGGUGCUGAAGCGACAAAUGCCCUGCUUCCAGGAAAAGCCUCUAAGCAUCAGGUAACAUCAAAUCGUACCCCAAACCGACACAGGUGGUCAGGUAGAGAAUACCAAGGCGCUUGAGAGAACUCGGGUGAAGGAACUAGGCAAAAUGGUGCCGUAACUUCGGGAGAAGGCACGCUGAUAUGUAGGUGAAGCGACUUGCUCGUGGAGCUGAAAUCAGUCGAAGAUACCAGCUGGCUGCAACUGUUUAUUAAAAACACAGCA